CCUACGGGAGGCAGCAGUGGGGAAUAUUGGACAAUGGGCGAAAGCCUGAUCCAGCAAUGCCGCGUGAGUGAAGAAGGCCUUCGGGUUGUAAAGCUCUUUUACCCGGGAAGAUAAUGACUGUACCGGGAGAAUAAGCCCCGGCUAACUCCGUGCCAGCAGCCGCGGUAAUACGGAGGGGGCUAGCGUUGUUCGGAAUUACUGGGCGUAAAGCGUACGUAGGCGGCUUUCUAAGUCAGAGGUGAAAUCCCACGACUCAAUCGUGGAACUGCCUUUGAGACUGGAUCGCUUGAAGAUGGGAGAGGUAAGUGGAAUUCCGAGUGUAGAGGUGAAAUUCGUAGAUAUUCGGAAGAACACCAGUGGCGAAGGCGGCUUACUGGACCAUUCUUGACGCUGAGGUACGAAAGCGUGGGGAGCAAACAGGAUUAGAUACCCUGGUAGUCCACGCCGUAAACGAUGAUAACUAGCUGUCGGGGCUCUUAGAGCUUCGGUGGCGCAGCUACGACAUAGUUAUCGUCCGUCGGGUAGGUACGGCCGCGAACGUAAACGUAACGAAGAAGUAGACGGCGNGAGACGUGUCGACGACGACGACGAGGGAGGUAGG
Molecule: ribosomal RNA, 601 nt
Filed under: uncultured bacterium
Lineage: Bacteria
Description: bacterial SSU rRNA
Rfam family: Bacterial small subunit ribosomal RNA (bases 1-516)
Source: RNAcentral